UUAACACUGUGGAGACGGAAGAGGGCACAACACCAGAGUACAGACCUUGACUCCCAGACAGAGGAUUCAAGGCCCUUUAUGGAAUCUUCUAGAUCUCGGCCUGGAUGCCUGAAGAAGCACGAGAGGUGUCUGAGCCUGGGAGGGACGCCUGUGAGCUGGGCCUUAGAAAGACACCCCUGGGGGCAGCCAGACUGGAGGCCCAGAGGGAGGCAGCACCCGGGGCUACUUUAGGAUCAUGCUUUCCAGAUCCUCCCAACACAGAAAAGAGGUGGCUUUUGGAAGGUGUCCAGAGGUAUUUGUGGAGUAGAAUGGAAUACUGAAGUAGAAGAAUGCCCUUAACGGUGGGCUGUGGAGGGGGACAGGGCCAGAGAAAAGAUUGGGAAUAGAAGUUUGGUGAGCAGCAGGGACUCCAUACUGGGGGCGUUUCUAGGUCUGACAGUUUCGGGGAACAUCACGACCCCACGGGAUAGUGGUGUUCAGAGUGAAGAGACAUCCCUCUCUCUUCUCCUCUUUCUCCAGGCAGGACAUUCUUGGGGAGCCCCAAAAACCCCGACCUGAGAAAGCUCUAGAAGCACAGCAUUAGCUCACCACCCACCCCGUACGUCUUGAGUGCUUUGCGAUACCACAGGGUUGUCUGUGACACGUCCAGCCCAGCACUGCCCUGCUCUGCCUGCCUGUCUUUGGGAGGAUGGAUCUGAGGUUCAUGAACACUCCACUUCUCCUCUUGUAGGAUUCUCUCCAGUAAAGCCUCCCCUGCAUUUUAUACCACAUGGACUAAGGUGACCGCCAUGAUGAAAGACCAGAUUCUCAUGAAGAAACCGUUUGUGAAGGAUUUUGAUCAGGCAACAUGGGCAUGCAGGUUUAAACACAGCCCCCAGCCUUCCAUGCCUGGCAAGCCACUUUCUCCUAUGUUCAUGCAUGUCUAGAUUUCUCAAUGAAAAACGUAGUUGAACUCAUGAAAGCCUAUCUUUAAAAAAUAUUAAAUAGCUAAUCUUAUAAACCCCUAUACACAGUGUCAGUUCACUUUUUUCAUAAAACAUGCCUAGUGGAAUGGCAACAACUGGGAAAAAUUCAGAGCUCAGCAUUUAUGUAUUGAAAAUAUCUCUUAAGUGGCUAUAGGUGUUGGUUUAUAAACUCCAGAAAUA
RNAcentral lists this long non-coding RNA (1145 nucleotides) under Homo sapiens (human). RNAcentral describes it as "HSALNT0173893". Lineage: Eukaryota; Metazoa; Chordata; Mammalia; Primates; Hominidae. The record is from RNAcentral.